UACGUAGGGUGCGAGCGUUAAUCGGAAUUACUGGGCGUAAAGCGUGCGCAGGCGGUUAUAUAAGACAGAGGUGAAAUCCCCGGGCUCAACCUGGGAACUGCCUUUGUGACUGUAUAGCUUGAGUGCGGCAGAGGGGGAUGGAAUUCCGCGUGUAGCAGUGAAAUGCGUAGAUAUGCGGAGGAACACCGAUGGCGAAGGCAAUCCCCUGGGCCUGCACUGACGCUCAUGCACGAAAGCGUGGGGAGCAAACAGG
This 253-nucleotide ribosomal RNA is filed under the name uncultured bacterium. RNAcentral describes it as "partial 16S ribosomal RNA". It matches the Rfam family "Bacterial small subunit ribosomal RNA", at positions 524 to 776 of the family's 1533-position model. The record is from RNAcentral.